CCCUCUCGACACAGACAUUGAGGUGGAGGCUGUGAGCACGGGAGCAGAAGUGGGAUCGUCCCAGCAGUGCUCGGGUGUAACCAGAUACCAACUGCUCACAGAACUCCCAAGACACCGGCUCCAGUGAGGACUCGGCGAUGGAGCCCGCGGGUGGAGCUCAGUCCCUGAGUCCCCGCUCCGGACGGACGGAUGCCCUGUCUAUGCAUGGGCUAACCUCGCCUGACCUCAUCGUCCAACAAUGUCGGGUCAGGGCUUGGGGACAGGACCUGACAGCACGAGGCGGGGUAAAGUAGUCACCGGACCCUUGCCUGGUGCCAGCCCUUGAUCCCCGAGCUCGCUGGAGCAAGUCAAAAGCGCUAGCUUCUUGGUUUCUACAGACCACGCACAUCCCCCAGACCCCCGUCCCUGCGACCUGCUCACCGUUCAAGCGGGCUGGAGAGCGCACUCACUUAAGGCAAGGGCUGCAGCUGCAAGUGGUGCGCCCUGCCCAGCCGGGGGUUUUCAGGAGGGUCCCGCCUCAGACGGGGCGGACCCGGGGCGGGGCAAGGGCCAAGAACGCUUAAAGGCGCCGCAGCGCAGAAGGCGGGAGGACUGCUUGAGACAGAGGGACAGUUGACCAGAGCAAGGGUUAAAGGUUCGGGGAGUCUGGACCUACGAAGGCAGCUGCAGUGGUCUCCACCCGUGAGAACCUCAGCCUCCACCGGGAGCCCGUAGGCUUGUGCCGCAGUAGGAAACUUUCUGCCUAGAAAGUUAGCUGAAGACUGUGGGCGUGUUUAUGUGGGAAGAAGCCUCUUAGUUUAGAGGCUGGCAAGGUAAAUGGAGGCACAGGAAGGCCUUUCCCCGACCCCAGCUGACUAGUGUGUGACAGGACUGGGACUUGCAGGCCGGGACAGCACCCCCACGUGAUCUUGCUCAUCUCUUACCUCAAGCCUGGGCAGGGACUAACAGUGAGGUCACUCUUUGCCCAGGGCCCUAGGGGCGUGUUUGGUUUUGGGACCCAGGGUUCAGACCUGACUUCUCCCUGCCUUUCAUCUCCUUUUCUAUGACCUGGUAUCUCUUCCUAAAUCCUGGAGGGAUCACAGCGGGAGACCUCAGCGGGAGGAGGCUGGCCAGGGUUCUUUUUGUCUCUGAGGGUGGAGGACAGCACAGUUCAGGGAUGGAGAGAAAGCCCCCCACCCUUUCAGGCUUCAGUUGAACAGAGUCACCCUGGGUGGAGUUCUUCACACGUUAGAGCCCUCCCUUGAACCUGAGAUUCCAAGAUGUCAAUAUCCAGCCCCGUCCAACCUUUCUAUUCUCUGUUCCCUCCCCAAGUCCUACACAGCCCUAUAUUCCAGUCCCACUGAUUGUCAAGCGUUCUCUUCUGUGCCUUUACAAAGGCUAUUCCUCUGCCUAGGAUAGUUUCCCUUCCUUGACUGGCUCCCCACCUUUACCUGCUGUGUGACUGUUGUGCACAUUACUAAAGCAUUCUAUGCUUGAGUUCCCUGGUCCAUAAAACAGAGCUAGUAGUACUACCUAAUUCAUAGAAUUGUAGAGAACUAAACAGUCCACCUAGAGGGCUUAGAGCAGUGCCUGGCACAUAGUGAAUACUACUAUUAUUACCACCAUCUGUGAGGGUCCUGAGGACUCCCCUCCAAUAUGUGGCAUUUGUCCCAGCACACGAUAUUAGCGUUCACUAAAUGUUUGUGGCCUUGAAUGCACCAUCUUCCUUUGUGCUACCACAAUAACCAACACAUAGCUUUAUCACAGAACUUAUCACAUCAUAUGGCAACGAUUUCUUUACUUGUCUGCCUCACUGACUAGAAAGAAAGAACUCAAGGGCAAAGGCAUGUCUUCAAGAACCUUAUUUUCUCAGUAUCUACUUCAAUGGCUGGCCUUUAGUAGCUGGCCUCAGUAAGCACUCAAUAAAUGUCUG
Piliocolobus tephrosceles (Ugandan red Colobus) is the source of this 1912-nucleotide long non-coding RNA. RefSeq lists it as uncharacterized. NCBI's taxonomy places the organism in Eukaryota, Metazoa, Chordata, Mammalia, Primates, Cercopithecidae. The transcript is spliced from 3 exons. The record is from RefSeq and is a predicted model, not a curated record.